This 108-nucleotide ribosomal RNA is filed under the name uncultured fungus. Its description in RNAcentral is "5.8S ribosomal RNA". It matches the Rfam family "5.8S ribosomal RNA", at positions 1 to 108 of the family's 154-position model. From Rfam's summary of the family: 5.8S ribosomal RNA (5.8S rRNA) is a component of the large subunit of the eukaryotic ribosome. It is transcribed by RNA polymerase I as part of the 45S precursor that also contains 18S and 28S rRNA. Lineage: Eukaryota; Fungi. The record is from RNAcentral.
AACUUUUAACAACGGAUCUCUUGGCUCUCGCAUCGAUGAAGGACGCAGCGAAAUGCGAUAAGUAAUGUGAAUUGCAGAAUUCAGUGAAUCAUCGAAUCUUUGAACGCA